GCCGUUGGAUGGCUCAGUUGGUUAGAGCGCAGGUCUCAUCGCUGUGGCUCGUAAUCCUGAGGUCGUAAGUUCGAUCCUCACUCCGAGCA
This 89-nucleotide transfer RNA is filed under the name Ganoderma leucocontextum. RNAcentral describes it as "tRNA-Met". It matches the Rfam family "tRNA". Rfam says of the family: Transfer RNA (tRNA) molecules are approximately 80 nucleotides in length. Lineage: Eukaryota; Fungi; Basidiomycota; Agaricomycetes; Polyporales; Polyporaceae. The record is from RNAcentral.